GCACAAGCGGUGGAGCAUGUGUUUAAUCGAAGCAACGCGAAGAACCUUUACCAGGUCUUGACAUCCCGAUGCUAUUUCUAGAGAUAGAAAGUUACUUCGGUACAUCGGUGACAGGUGGUGCAUGGUUGUCGUCAGCUCGUGUCGUGAGAUGUUGGGUUAAGUCCCGCAACGAGCGCAACCCCUAUUGUUAGUUGCCAUCAUUCAGUUGGGCACUCUAGCGAGACUGCCGGUAAUAAACCGGAGGAAGUGGGAUGACGUCAAAUCAUCAUGCCCCUUAUGACCUGGGCUACACACGUGCUACAAUGGUUGGUACAACGAGUUGCGAGUCGGUGACGGCGAGCUAAUCUCUUAAAGCCAAUCUCAGUUCGGAUUGUAGGCUGCAACUCGCCUACAUGAAGUCGGAAUCGCUAGUAAUCGCGGAUCAGCACGCCGCGGUGAAUACGUUCCCGGGCCUU
RNAcentral lists this ribosomal RNA (455 nucleotides) under uncultured Streptococcus sp. Its description in RNAcentral is "bacterial SSU rRNA". It matches the Rfam family "Bacterial small subunit ribosomal RNA", at positions 923 to 1382 of the family's 1533-position model. The record is from RNAcentral. Lineage: Bacteria; Bacillati; Bacillota; Bacilli; Lactobacillales; Streptococcaceae.